AUAUAAUAAAUCAUAGUGGCAUCUGUCGGGUAAAU
RNAcentral lists this non-coding RNA (35 nucleotides) under Trypanosoma brucei brucei. The record is from RNAcentral. Lineage: Eukaryota; Euglenozoa; Kinetoplastea; Trypanosomatida; Trypanosomatidae.